Non-coding RNA from Microcebus murinus (gray mouse lemur), 725 nucleotides. Lineage: Eukaryota; Metazoa; Chordata; Mammalia; Primates; Cheirogaleidae. The record is from RefSeq and is a predicted model, not a curated record.
UUUAGUGAAAUUCUUAACCUCGAUGAAAGUAUUUCAGAUGUAUUUGACUAUAUCUUUUCAGUAGGUGGCAACGUGAAAGGGGAAAUACAAGCGUGAUGGGUGAUCUUGCUGAGCUUAGCAGCUUGCCAGGCCGUUCAUGGGUUUUCUUGGCUCUUCAUGGAGACUGGAGGGUGUCGGUUUCUGAACGGCUGGGGACACGAAGCCACGUUGCAUCCUGCAGUGACGGCAUCUCGGUUUCUACGAAAUGUGGGAUUACCUUAUUCAGUGCCGAGACCCUGAGCGUGCAAGCCUGCGCUUGACCUUGUUUGGAAUGCUGAUACCAACACCAGUUGGACGGGACUUUGGGAGACUUCAGAUGGCCCUUGUGUGUCCACGCUGGACUCCUCUGAAGACUGUGAGAUCCGCUCAGAGUGAGUUAAACACCGAGAACUGCAAGGCGGCUGCAUGCUUUCUUGUUUCCUCUUGCUUUGUGGAAUAAAGAAUCAAAGCAGCAACAUGAAACAAUUUCUGCAAUCCUUCUGCUGACAUCCGGGAGAAAGUCUCAUCUAGAUGCUGCUCUGCCCUUAAACCCUCUCCAAUACUUGCAAACCUGCCUUGUUGGCGAGCACCCGUGGCCUACAGCUCAGAGUCUUUAGUAGAUAACAGAAUCUAGUGUGAAUCUCAUAACAUGUCUUUGCUUUUUCAAAAUUUAUUUUUAAUGAUUGCCUUCUUUUUCAUUUAUUGCA